Molecule: ribosomal RNA, 391 nt
Filed under: uncultured bacterium
Lineage: Bacteria
Description: bacterial SSU rRNA
Rfam family: Bacterial small subunit ribosomal RNA
Source: RNAcentral
GACGAACGCUGGCGGCGUGCUUAACACAUGCAAGUCGAGCGGUAAGGCCCUUUCGGGGGUACGACGAGCGGCGAACGGGUGAGUAACACGUGGGUGACCUCGCCCUCCAGCUCUGGGAUAAGCCUGGGAAACCGGGUACUAAUACCGGAUAUGACUCCAUGACGCAUGUUGUGGGGUGGAAAGCCUUGUGCGGCUGAGGAUGGGCCCGCGGCCUAUCAGCUUGUUGGUGGGGUGAUGGCCUACCAAGGCGACGACGGGUAGCCGGCCUGAGAGGGCGACCGGCCACACUGGGACUGAGACACGGCCCAGACUCCUACGGGAGGCAGCAGUGGGGAAUCUUGCGCAAUGGGCGAAAGCCUGACGCAGCGACGCCGCGUGAGGAUGACGGCCU